Molecule: ribosomal RNA, 139 nt
Filed under: uncultured Desulfovibrionales bacterium
Lineage: Bacteria; Pseudomonadati; Thermodesulfobacteriota; Desulfovibrionia; Desulfovibrionales
Description: partial 16S ribosomal RNA
Rfam family: Bacterial small subunit ribosomal RNA
Source: RNAcentral
GGGCCUACGGGAGGCAGCAGUGGGGAAUAUUGCGCAAUGGGCGAAAGCCUGACGCAGCGACGCCGCGUGAGGGAUGAAGGCCUUCGGGUCGUAAACCUCUGUCAGGAGGGAAGAACCGCCAUGGUGCUAAUCAGCCAUG